UCUCCGUAGGUGAACCUGCGGAGGGAUCAUUACAGAGUUCAUGCCCUACCGGGUAGAUCUCCCACCCUAGGUUAUUAUUACUUUGUUGCUUUGGCGGGCCGUUAGGCUCCGGCCCGACUACCGGCCCCGGCUGGUAAGCGCCCGCCAGAGGACCCAAAACCCUGAAUAUUAGUGUCGUCUGAGUACUAUAUAAUAGUUAAAACUUUCAACAACGGAUCUCUUGGUUCUG
RNAcentral lists this unclassified non-coding RNA (229 nucleotides) under plant metagenome. RNAcentral's name for it is "partial contains small subunit ribosomal RNA, internal transcribed spacer 1, and 5.8S ribosomal RNA". The record is from RNAcentral.